AUUUUUAGUAGAGACGAGGUUUCGCCGUGUUAGCCAGGAUUGUCUGGAUCUCCUGACCUUGUGAUCCACCCACCUUGGCCUCCCAAAGUGCUAGGAUUACAGGUGUGAGCCACGGCGCCCUGAGGACUGGCAGACUCAUUUGACUUUCUUAGAAUAGAGGAGGAAGAGGAGGAAGAAGAGGUGCAAGAGGAAGGCCAGGGUGUGGCUGACAUCUAGCUGGAUGUGGUGGAUGAUUCUGGAGGACCUCUUGCCCUUCUCCUUCAUGACCUGUAGGGCAGGGCCAAGAGGAGGAAGCAGCCUCAGAACACACAAAAGACUCCCUGCCCCAAACGGCAGUCAUCCCACAGUCAGCACUUCUGGAAGGAAGGGAGGAAGGUUUCCUUCUGCAGAAAGCUCCUUUUUGCCUUGUUUCUGAAGCCAGGGAGGGUCAGCAGAGCCCAGCGCACCUGUGGUGCCUGAGUUACCAUCUAUGCCCAGGAUGUGCG
This 485-nucleotide non-coding RNA is filed under the name Pongo abelii (Sumatran orangutan). Lineage: Eukaryota; Metazoa; Chordata; Mammalia; Primates; Hominidae. The record is from RNAcentral.